UAAUAUAUCGGAACGUACCCUGGAGUGGGGGAUAACGUAGCGAAAGUUACGCUAAUACCGCAUACGAUCUAAGGAUGAAAGUGGGGGAUCGCAAGACCUCAUGCUCCUGGAGCGGCCGAUAUCUGAUUAGCUAGUUGGUGGGGUAAAGGCCUACCAAGGCAUCGAUCAGUAGCUGGUCUGAGAGGACGACCAGCCACACUGGAACUGAGACACGGUCCAG
RNAcentral lists this ribosomal RNA (220 nucleotides) under uncultured bacterium. RNAcentral's name for it is "partial 16S ribosomal RNA". It matches the Rfam family "Bacterial small subunit ribosomal RNA", at positions 111 to 334 of the family's 1533-position model. The record is from RNAcentral.